RNAcentral lists this long non-coding RNA (231 nucleotides) under Cicer arietinum (chickpea). Its description in RNAcentral is "long non-coding RNA (CARI_LNC001090)". Lineage: Eukaryota; Viridiplantae; Streptophyta; Magnoliopsida; Fabales; Fabaceae. The record is from RNAcentral.
UGACACUGCCUUUUCUUGCAACUUCCAUCUUUGAAUUGUUUCCAAGCUUGACUACUUGUGUACAAUUUUCAUGUUUAGUGAACUAAGUUUUGUUUCCACUCAUGUAAUUAGAGCAUCCAGAAUCCAAGAACCAAACAUAUUCUUUUUUUUUUCUUUUCUUGUGGAUCAACAUGUGUCAUCAGUAACACAGUUUCAUCUUCAUUGAAUUCUGCACAAUUGGCUUCUUUGUCC